CCUACGGGAGGCAGCAGUGGGGAAUAUUGGACAAUGGGGGCAACCCUGAUCCAGCCAUGCCGCGUGUGUGAAGAAGGCCCUCGGGUUGUAAAGCACUUUCAGUGAGGAAGAACGCCUGGUGGUUAAUACCCAUCAGGAAAGACAUCACUCACAGAAGAAGCACCGGCUAACUCCGUGCCAGCAGCCGCGGUAAUACGGAGGGUGCGAGCGUUAAUCGGAAUUACUGGGCGUAAAGCGCGCGUAGGUGGCUUGAUAAGCCGGUUGUGAAAGCCCCGGGCUCAACCUGGGAACGGCAUCCGGAACUGUCAAGCUAGAGUGCAGGAGAGGAGGGUAGAAUUCCCGGUGUAGCGGUGAAAUGCGUAGAGAUCGGGAGGAAUACCAGUGGCGAAGGCGGCCUUCUGGACUGACACUGACACUGAGGUGCGAAAGCGUGGGUAGCAAACAGGAUUAGAUACCCGGGUAGUC
Molecule: ribosomal RNA, 465 nt
Filed under: Vreelandella stevensii
Lineage: Bacteria; Pseudomonadati; Pseudomonadota; Gammaproteobacteria; Oceanospirillales; Halomonadaceae
Description: partial 16S ribosomal RNA
Rfam family: Bacterial small subunit ribosomal RNA
Source: RNAcentral